GAUGAACGCUGGCGGCGUGCCUAAUACAUGCAAGUCGAGCGAACAGACGAGGAGCUUGCUCCUCUGACGUUAGCGGCGGACGGGUGAGUAACACGUGGAUAACCUACCUAUAAGACUGGGAUAACUUCGGGAAACCGGAGCUAAUACCGGAUAAUAUAUUGAACCGCAUGGUUCAAUAGUGAAAGACGGUUUUGCUGUCACUUAUAGAUGGAUCCGCGCCGCAUUAGCUAGUUGGUAAGGUAACGGCUUACCAAGGCAACGAUGCGUAGCCGACCUGAGGGGGGGGGUGGGCCAACGGGAAACGGACACACGUCCCAGCCUCUGGGGGGAGGCAGGAGGGGGGAAUCUUCCGAACGGGGCGAAAGCGGGCCGGAGACACGGCGGGAGAGAGAAAAAGGUUUGCGGAUCGUAAAACUCUUUUAUAGGGGAAGAAAAAAUUUGAAAGUAACUAUGACGGUUUGGAGGGAACCUAUAAAAAAGGCCCGGGCAAACUCGGG
Molecule: ribosomal RNA, 497 nt
Filed under: uncultured bacterium
Lineage: Bacteria
Description: partial 16S ribosomal RNA
Rfam family: Bacterial small subunit ribosomal RNA
Source: RNAcentral